This 188-nucleotide unclassified non-coding RNA is filed under the name plant metagenome. RNAcentral's name for it is "partial contains 5.8S ribosomal RNA, internal transcribed spacer 2, and large subunit ribosomal RNA". The record is from RNAcentral.
UGAAUCGAGCAGUUGUCCCGCUCCGAACAACUCGCCUGCGAACUCCGGCCGGAUGAACUGCGCGCCGCUGCCGGUCGUGCCGUGCGUGAUGAGGACGGCGUUGCGCACCGUUCCUUUCUCGUCCUUCCGCGGUUCGCCGAGCGUGCGAUAGUGAAGUCGAAGCUCUGGCAGUGUCUCGCCCGACGCAA